Molecule: ribosomal RNA, 450 nt
Filed under: uncultured bacterium
Lineage: Bacteria
Description: bacterial SSU rRNA
Rfam family: Bacterial small subunit ribosomal RNA
Source: RNAcentral
CCGCCAGACUCCUACGGGAGGCAGCAGUGGGGAAUAUUGGGCAAUGGGCGCAAGCCUGACCCAGCAACGCCGCGUGAAGGAAGAAGGCUUUCGGGUUGUAAACUUCUUUUAAGAGGGACGAAACAAAUGACGGUACCUCUUGAAUAAGCCACGGCUAACUACGUGCCAGCAGCCGCGGUAAUACGUAGGUGGCAAGCGUUAUCCGGAUUUACUGGGUGUAAAGGGAGCGUAGACGGAAUUGCAAGUCUGAUGUGAAAAUCCGGGGCCCAACCCCGGAACUGCAUUGGAAACUGUAUUUCUAGAGUGUCGGAGAGGCAAGCGGAAUUCCUGGUGUAGCGGUGAAAUGCGUAGAUAUCAGGAGGAGCACCAGUGGCGAAGGCGGCUUGCUGGACGAUGACUGACGUUGAGGCUCGAAAGCGUGGGGAGCAAACAGGAUUAGAUACCCUAGUA